Molecule: ribosomal RNA, 429 nt
Filed under: Acidobacteriota bacterium
Lineage: Bacteria; Pseudomonadati; Acidobacteriota
Description: Acidobacteria bacterium partial 16S ribosomal RNA
Rfam family: Bacterial small subunit ribosomal RNA
Source: RNAcentral
UGGGGAAUUUUGGACAAUGGGGGAAACCCUGAUCCAGCCAUCCCGCGUGUGCGAUGAAGGCCUUCGGGUUGUAAAGCACUUUUGGCAGGAAAUAAACGUCAUGGGUUAAUACCCCGUGAAACUGACGGUACCUGCAGAAUAAGCACCGGCUAACUACGUGCCAGCAGCCGCGGUAAUACGUAGGGUGCAAGCGUUAAUCGGAAUUACUGGGCGUAAAGCGUGCGCAGGCGGUUCGGAAAGAAAGAUGUGAAAUCCCAGAGCUCAACUUUGGAACUGCAUUUUUAACUGCCGGGAUAGAGUGUGUCAGAGGGAGGUGGAAUUCCGGGUGUAGCGGUGAAAUGCGUAAAUAUGCGGAGGAACACAGAUGGGGAAGGCGGCCACCUGGGAUAACACUAACGCUCAUGCACGAAAGCGUGGGGAGCAAACAGG